Molecule: long non-coding RNA, 298 nt
Filed under: Fukomys damarensis (Damara mole-rat)
Lineage: Eukaryota; Metazoa; Chordata; Mammalia; Rodentia; Bathyergidae
Description: lncRNA (ENSFDAG00000022985.1)
Source: RNAcentral
AUGAAUACCAGGUGUUCAGGAACACACGCAGAUAGAGUGCAGAAGUACUCUUGUGAAAUAAGCAGCCAGGUCAGCAGCUGCGAGCGAGGACAGGAGAGAGAGAGCAGGGAAAUAACAGGAUCAGUUCCUCUUCAGGGCUCCGAAGCUCUCUCCCCUUCCAGUCGGCAAGUCUCCACAAGCCUGCUGCUGAGUCAGACCCUCCUCUACCCGCUGAGAAAUCCUUCUCCCUGAAAAUCACUAAAGCUGCGGAAACCUUCGGGGCCUCCCGGGGCGGAGGGGCCGGGCCGCCCGUGACAGC